This 56-nucleotide ribosomal RNA is filed under the name Enterobacter cloacae. RNAcentral's name for it is "partial 23S ribosomal RNA". The record is from RNAcentral. RNAcentral also lists the same sequence under 3 other names. Lineage: Bacteria; Pseudomonadati; Pseudomonadota; Gammaproteobacteria; Enterobacterales; Enterobacteriaceae.
GCGUUGAGCUAACCGAUACUAAUGAACCGUGAGGCUUAACCUUACAACGCCGAAGC